Molecule: long non-coding RNA, 346 nt
Organism: Labeo rohita (rohu)
Lineage: Eukaryota; Metazoa; Chordata; Actinopteri; Cypriniformes; Cyprinidae
Exons: 3
Source: RefSeq, a predicted model, not a curated record
GUUGAAAGUGUCUCUCGCUGUAGCUUAAGAACCUUCCAAGAUGGCCUACUAGUUUCCAUCCACAAGAAUUAGGUCUGCUCAGGAAAUUAUGGAUGGUCCUCCUGAAGCAGCUUGGGCUUGGGAUCAAGGAUCCAUCCUUACAGGGUUUCAAGCAAUCUGUUACCCAUCCAGAUCUUGCAUCAGUAGACUACACAACCCACCAGACCACACCUACAACAAAGUUUAGGAGUGCAAGAACCACCAGAUCCACUAGAAGACAAGCAGAAUGACUUGGGUAUGUACACUGUCUGGUUUUUGAUGAAAAUGUUCUUUGUCUUGUCUUCCUCCGUUUUUCAACCUGCGGUCA